Molecule: ribosomal RNA, 512 nt
Filed under: uncultured bacterium
Lineage: Bacteria
Description: bacterial SSU rRNA
Rfam family: Bacterial small subunit ribosomal RNA
Source: RNAcentral
AGGGUUCGAUUCUGGCUCAGGAUGAACGCUGGCGGCGUGCCUAACACAUGCAAGUCGAGCGAAGUUACUUACAGGAAGCCUUCGGGUGGAAUGGAUUUAACUUAGCGGCGGACGGGUGAGUAACGCGUGGGCAACCUACCCUGUACAGGGGAAUAACAAUGGGAAACCAUUGCUAAUACCCCAUAAUACCUUUUAGGGGCAUCCCUUAAAGGUCAAAGAAUUUCGGUAUAGGAUGGGCCCGCGUCGCAUUAGCUAGUUGGUAAGGUAAUGGCUUACCAAGGCGACGAUGCGUAGCCGGCCUGAGAGGGUGAACGGCCACACUGGAACUGAGACACGGUCCAGACUCCUACGGGGGGCAGCAGUGGGGAAUAUUGCACAAUGGGGGGAAAAACCCCUGAUGCAGCAACGCCGCGUGAGCGAUGAAGGCUUUCGGGUCGUAAAGCUCUGUCCUAAGGGAAGAUAAUGACGGUACCUUAGGAGGAAGCCCCGGCUAACUACGUGCCAGCCGCGGC